Molecule: ribosomal RNA, 467 nt
Filed under: uncultured bacterium
Lineage: Bacteria
Description: partial 16S ribosomal RNA
Rfam family: Bacterial small subunit ribosomal RNA
Source: RNAcentral
GACGAACGCUGGCGGCGUGCUUAACACAUGCAAGUCGAACGGAAAGGCCUCUUUCGGGGGGUACUCGAGUGGCGAACGGGUGAGUAACGCGUGAGUAACCUGCCCUUGACUUUGGGAUAACUUCAGGAAACUGGGGCUAAUACCGGAUAGGAGCUCCUGCUGCAUGGUGGGGGUUGGAAAGUUUCGGCGGUUGGGGAUGGACUCGCGGCUUAUCAGCUUGUUGGUGGGGUAGUGGCUUACCAAGGCUUUGACGGGUAGCCGGCCUGAGAGGGUGACCGGCCACAUUGGGACUGAGAUACGGCCCAGACUCCUACGAGAGGCAGCAGUGGGGAAUAUUGCACAAUGGGUGGAAGCCUGAUGCAGCAACGCCGUGUGCGGGAUGACGGCCUUCGGGUUGUAAACCGCUUUCGCUCAUGACGAAGCUUUGUGUGACGGUAGUGGGUAAAGAAGCACCGGCUAACUACGUG